GGAGCUUGAUUUAUUGACAGUUUAGGGAGCUGGAUUUAUUGACAUAGUUUAGGGAGCUUGAUUUAUUGACAUAGAUUAGGGAGAUGGAUUUAUUGACAGUUUAGGGAGAUGGAUUUAUUGGCAUAGUUUAGGGAGAUGGAUUUAUUGACAGUUUAGGAGCUGGAUUUAUUGACAUAGUUUAGGGAGAUGGAUUUAUUGACAUAGCUUCGGGAGCUGGAUUUAUUGACGUAGCUUAGGGAGCUUGAUUUAUUGACAUAUUUAGGAGCUGGAUUUAUUGACAUAGCUUCAGGAGCUGGAUUUAUUGACGUAUCUUAGGGAGCUGGAUUUAUUGACAUAGUUUAGGGAGCUUGAUUUAUUGACAUAGAUUAGG
Molecule: long non-coding RNA, 370 nt
Organism: Oncorhynchus tshawytscha (Chinook salmon)
Lineage: Eukaryota; Metazoa; Chordata; Actinopteri; Salmoniformes; Salmonidae
Source: Ensembl